CCUACGGGAGGCAGCAGUGAGGAAUAUUGCACAAUGGGCGUAACCCUGAUCCAGCGACGCCGCGUGAGGGAGGAAGUAUUUCGGGAUUGUAAACUCUAUCAGCAAGGGAGAAAAUUACGGUACCUGACUCAUAAGCCCCGGCUAACUACUUGCCAGCAGCCGCAGUAAUACGUAGGGGGCAAGCGUUAUCCGGAUUUACUGGGUGUAAAGGGGGCAUAGACGGCUUAUCAAGUCAGAAGUGAACACCCAUGGCUCAACUUUGGGAUUGCUGUUGAAACUGGGUAGCUAGAGUGCAGUAGAGGUAGGCGGAAUGCCUAGUGUAGCGGUGAAAUGCGUAGAUAUCAGGAGGAACACCAGUUGCGAAGGCGGCUUACGGGACUGUAACUGACGUUGAGGCUCGAAAGCGUGGGGAGCAAACAGGAUUAGAUACCCGGGUAGUC
Molecule: ribosomal RNA, 440 nt
Filed under: uncultured bacterium
Lineage: Bacteria
Description: partial 16S ribosomal RNA
Rfam family: Bacterial small subunit ribosomal RNA
Source: RNAcentral